GGCCGACCUGGCCAACGUCACCGCGCCACCGCUGAGCGCGGUGGUGCGUGCCGGUGGCGGCACCGGGUCGUUCGUCUCCGCCGACGGCCU
Molecule: transfer RNA, 90 nt
Filed under: compost metagenome
Description: tRNA-Leu
Source: RNAcentral